Molecule: ribosomal RNA, 468 nt
Filed under: uncultured bacterium
Lineage: Bacteria
Description: partial 16S ribosomal RNA
Rfam family: Bacterial small subunit ribosomal RNA
Source: RNAcentral
GACGAACGCUGGCGGCGUGCUUAACACAUGCAAGUCGAACGGAAAGGCCCUGCUUUUGUGGGGUGCUCGAGUGGCGAACGGGUGAGUAACACGUGAGUAACCUGCCCUUGACUUUGGGAUAACUUCAGGAAACUGGGGCUAAUACCGGAUAGGAGCUCCUGCUGCAUGGUGGGGGUUGGAAAGUUUCGGCGGUUGGGGAUGGACUCGCGGCUUAUCAGCUUGUUGGUGGGGUAGUGGCUUACCAAGGCUUUGACGGGUAGCCGGCCUGAGAGGGUGACCGGCAACAUUGGGACUGAGAUACGGCCAAGACUCCUACGGGAGGCAGCAGUGGGGAAUAUUGAAAAAUGGGCGGAAGCCUGAUGCAGCAACGCCGCGUGCGGGAUGACGGCCUUCGGGUUGUAAACCGCUUUCGCCUGUGACGAAGCGUGAGUGACGGUAAUGGGUAAAGAAGCACCGGCUAACUACGUG